ACCGUUAUGGUGUAAUGGUAGCCACACAAGCUUGAGGGGUUUGCGGACAACGUGUCCAUUCCGGUUCGAGUCCGGAUAACGGUA
Molecule: transfer RNA, 84 nt
Filed under: Parachlorella kessleri
Lineage: Eukaryota; Viridiplantae; Chlorophyta; Trebouxiophyceae; Chlorellales; Chlorellaceae
Description: tRNA-Leu
Source: RNAcentral